GAUGAAGAACGUAGCAAAAUGCGAUAAGUAAUGUGAAUUGCAGAAUUCAGUGAAUCAUCGAAUCUUUGAACGCACAUUGCGCCCGCCAGUAUUCUGGCGGGCAUGCCUGUUCGAGCGUCAUUUCAACCCUCAAGCACAGCUUGGUGUUGGGACUCGCGUUAAUUCGCGUUCCCCAAAUUGAUUGGCGGUCACGUCGAGCUUCCAUAGCGUAGUAGUAAAACCCUCGUUACUGGUAAUCGUCGCGGCAACGCCGUUAAACCCCAACUUCUGAAUGUUGACCUCGGAUCAGGUAGGAAUACCCGCUGAACUUAAGCAUAUCAAUAAGCGGAGGA
Molecule: unclassified non-coding RNA, 332 nt
Filed under: soil metagenome
Description: partial contains 5.8S ribosomal RNA, internal transcribed spacer 2, and large subunit ribosomal RNA
Rfam family: 5.8S ribosomal RNA (bases 1-120)
Source: RNAcentral